GACGAACCGUGCGAACGUUAUUCGGAAUCACUGGGCUUAAAGGGCGCGUAGGCGGGCUUCCAAGUCAGGGGUGAAAUCCCACGGCUCAACCGUGGAAGUGCCUUUGAUACUGGGGGCCUCGAGGGGUGCAGGGGCGUGCGGAACUCAGGGUGGAGCGGUGAAAUGCGUAGAUAUCCUGAGGAACACCGGUGGCGAAAGCGGCGCGCUGGACACCUUCUGACGCUGAGGCGCGAAAGCCAGGGGAGCAAACGGG
This 253-nucleotide ribosomal RNA is filed under the name uncultured bacterium. Its description in RNAcentral is "partial 16S ribosomal RNA". It matches the Rfam family "Bacterial small subunit ribosomal RNA", at positions 524 to 776 of the family's 1533-position model. The record is from RNAcentral.